This 73-nucleotide transfer RNA is filed under the name Helianthus annuus (common sunflower). RNAcentral's name for it is "tRNA HanXRQr2_Chr14g0629741". The record is from RNAcentral. Lineage: Eukaryota; Viridiplantae; Streptophyta; Magnoliopsida; Asterales; Asteraceae.
GGAUCUUUGGCUCACUGGUUAAUGUGUUUGCUUUCUAAGCAGUUGGUCACUGGUUCGAUUCUGACCAGCUGCA